GCCAGCGGCUAUAUCAACCUGCAACUCACAACUGGCAGCCCACUGAAGCUCAACAGGUGUGAGCCUGGCCAGUACCUGGAUGGGAGACUCCUGGGAAAAACUAACGUUGCUGCUGGAA
RNAcentral lists this ribosomal RNA (118 nucleotides) under Lepisosteus oculatus (spotted gar). The record is from RNAcentral. Lineage: Eukaryota; Metazoa; Chordata; Actinopteri; Semionotiformes; Lepisosteidae.